RNAcentral lists this ribosomal RNA (370 nucleotides) under gut metagenome. Its description in RNAcentral is "bacterial SSU rRNA". It matches the Rfam family "Bacterial small subunit ribosomal RNA", at positions 1164 to 1533 of the family's 1533-position model. The record is from RNAcentral.
CGGAGGAAGGCGGGGACGACGUCAAAUCAUCAUGCCCCUUAUGUCCUGGGCUACACACGUAAUACAAUGGUGGUUAACAGAGGGAUGCAAGACUGUGAAGUGGAGCAAAUCCCUAAAAGCCAUCUCAGUUCGGAUUGCAGGCUGCAACUCGCCUGCAUGAAGCUGGAAUUGCUAGUAAUCGCGGAUCAGCAUGCCGCGGUGAAUACGUUCCCGGGCCUUGUACACACCGCCCGUCACACCAUGAGAGUCGGGAACACCCGAAGUCCGUAGUCUAACCGCAAGGAGGGCGCGGCCGAAGGUGGGUCCGGUAAUUGGGGUGAAGUCGUAACAAGGUAGCCGUAUCGGAAGGUGCGGCUGGAUCACCUCCUUU